CCUACGGGAGGCAGCAGUGAGGAAUAUUGGUCAAUGGACGAGAGUCUGAACCAGCCAAGUAGCGUGAAGGAUGACUGCCCUAUGGGUUGUAAACUUCUUUUAUAUGGGAAUAAAACGUGGUAUGCAUAGCCUCUUGUAUGUACCAUAUGAAUAAGGAUCGGCUAACUCCGUGCCAGCAGCCGCGGUAAUACGGAGGAUCCGAGCGUUAUCCGGAUUUAUUGGGUUUAAAGGGAGCGUAGGUGGAAUGUCAAGUCAGUUGUGAAAGUUUGCGGCUCAACCGUGGAAUUGCAUUGGAAACUGGCAGGCUGGAGUGCAGUAGAGGUAGGCGGAAUUCGUGGUGUAGCGGUGAAAUGCGUAGAUAUCAGGAAGAACACCGGUGGCGAAGGCAGCCUACUGGACUGUAACUGACACUGAGGCUCGAAAGUGUGGGUAUCAAACAGGAUUAGAUACCCUUGUAGUC
This 460-nucleotide ribosomal RNA is filed under the name uncultured bacterium. RNAcentral describes it as "partial 16S ribosomal RNA". It matches the Rfam family "Bacterial small subunit ribosomal RNA", at positions 338 to 795 of the family's 1533-position model. The record is from RNAcentral.